GCAUCACUACGCUAGAUGCAUAUCAAUAAGCGGAGGAAAAGAAACUAACUAAGGAUUCCCUCAGUAACGGCGAGUGAAGCGGGAAGAGCUCAAAUUUGAAAUCUUCAAGGUUCUACCUUGACGAAUUGUAGUUUAAAGAAGUGUUUUCUGUUGGAGUUUUGGUAAAAGUUCUUUGGAAUAGGACAUCAUAGAGGGUGAGAAUCCCGUAUUUGACCAUUAUUUCCAGCUGUGUGAUACACUUUCAAAGAGUCGGAUUGUUUGGGAAUGCAGUCCAAAAUGGGUGGUAAAUUUCAUCUAAAGCUAAAUAUUGGCGAGAGACCGAUAGCGAACAAGUACCGUGAGGGAAAGAUGAAAAGAACUUUGAAAAGAGAGUUAAAACAGUACGUGAAAUUGUCAAAAGGGAAGCGUUUGACACCAGUGUUGUUUAGUUGAAAAUCAAUUCAAUAAUUUUUGAUUUUGAGUAGUAUUGACUUCAUCAGCUUGCUGCUUUCUUUUCCGAAAUUAUUGAAUGCACUUUUCAGUUAACAAGUCAACAUCAAUUUCUUUUGUUGUAAAAGGGUAAGAGGAAGGUGGCUUACGCUUCGGCGUAAGUGUUUAUAGCCUUUUACCUCUGCAGUCGGGGAGAUUGAGGUCUGCAGCGUAGAUCCUUCGGGGCUAGAUACAUUUAUGCUAAGUUAUAGCUUUUCAUAGACAACUUGUUGACUAUGUUUAGUCAUGUAGCUUACUCGUAAGUGCUAUUUUACCUACGCUUAGGAUGUUGAUAUGCAUGACUGAUAU
This 777-nucleotide ribosomal RNA is filed under the name uncultured Neocallimastigales. RNAcentral's name for it is "partial large subunit ribosomal RNA". It matches the Rfam family "Eukaryotic large subunit ribosomal RNA", at positions 20 to 635 of the family's 3401-position model. Lineage: Eukaryota; Fungi; Neocallimastigomycota; Neocallimastigomycetes; Neocallimastigales. The record is from RNAcentral.